GACGAACGCUGGCGGCGUGCUUAACACAUGCAAGUCGAGCGGUAAGGCCCUUCGGGUACGACGAGCGGCGAACGGGUGAGUAACACGUGGGUGACCUGCCUCUAGCUCUGGGAUAAGCCUGGGAAACUGGGUCUAAUACCGGAUAUGACUCCACGGCGCAUGUUGUGGGGUGGAAAGCCUUGUGUGGCUAGAGAUGGGCCCGCGGCCUAUCAGCUUGCUGGUGGGGGAUGGCCUACCAAGGCGACGACGGGUAGGCCGGCCUGAGAGGGCGGACCGGCCACACUGGGACUGAGACACGGCCCAGACUCCUACGGGAGGCAGCAGUGGGGAAUCUUGCGCAAUGGGCGAAAGCCUGACGCAGCGACGCCGCGUGAGGGAUGACGGCCU
Molecule: ribosomal RNA, 387 nt
Filed under: uncultured bacterium
Lineage: Bacteria
Description: bacterial SSU rRNA
Rfam family: Bacterial small subunit ribosomal RNA
Source: RNAcentral